This 221-nucleotide ribosomal RNA is filed under the name Listeria monocytogenes. Its description in RNAcentral is "partial 16S ribosomal RNA". It matches the Rfam family "Bacterial small subunit ribosomal RNA", at positions 1 to 216 of the family's 1533-position model. Lineage: Bacteria; Bacillati; Bacillota; Bacilli; Caryophanales; Listeriaceae. The record is from RNAcentral.
UUUAAAGAGAGUUUGAUCCUGGCUCAGGACGAACGCUGGCGGCGUGCCUAAUACAUGCAAGUCGAACGAACGGAGGAAGAGCUUGCUCUUCCAAAGUUAGUGGCGGACGGGUGAGUAACACGUGGGCAACCUGCCUGUAAGUUGGGGAUAACUCCGGGAAACCGGGGCUAAUACCGAAUGAUAGAAUGUGGCGCAUGCCACGCUUUUGAAAGAUGGUUUCG